UCCCAAUUCAGUACGCUUCGGGAAUGUGGU
RNAcentral lists this non-coding RNA (30 nucleotides) under Homo sapiens (human). The record is from RNAcentral. Lineage: Eukaryota; Metazoa; Chordata; Mammalia; Primates; Hominidae.